This is an RNA transcript of Nasonia vitripennis (jewel wasp), 2646 nucleotides long. RefSeq lists it as uncharacterized. The record is from RefSeq and is a predicted model, not a curated record. NCBI's taxonomy places the organism in Eukaryota, Metazoa, Arthropoda, Insecta, Hymenoptera, Pteromalidae. The transcript is spliced from 8 exons.
ACAACGGCCACUCGCGCGCAAGGAUCGAUCGUGAAAGACGGGUACUCGCUCAAGCACUCCUCCGCGAGAUCAUGGAGCCGACGAGCUGCAUCGGUAGGCUGAUAAGAUCGACAAUCAAGUUCACGUCCGAGCGCUUGGCAGAAUUCGAAGCGGCCCUUCUGCGAGACAUACGGCAGAAUUGGCAGGACUUCCCUCUCUGUCUGCUCAACCACAGGUGGAGGAACGACCAUUGGCAGCCAGUAGUUAGCGAUGUGGCUGAAAUGCAGCGAAUUACGGACGCCGCUCAAGAGCCGAAGGUAAACAAAUGUCUGGCGACUCUGCGGCCAUUCGUUCCUGACGAGAGCGGAAAAUGACGUAGGUGAAAAACCAUAGGAAAAUCGUGUUCGGAAAGUUUACACUAAUGCCUCGAUAGCGUGUAAUUUCGCGAGAAUGCGCGGCAGCUUAUCUCUCUCUCUCUCUCUCUCUCUCUCUCUCUCUCUCUCUCUCUCUCUCUCUCUCUGUCUCUCGGUAUCUGUCUCGCUCUGCAAAGAGGCAAUGGUCGGGGGCGUAGAAAAUACAGCCAAAGUCAUUGCUGCUGCACUUUUCCCGAGCUUUCUGAAGAAAUUGUCGAUAAGUUGCUUGCUCGAGUCAGAAAAAUCCCGGAAACUUGGGGCAAAGUAGCUCCGGCAAGCAGCAGCAGCAUCAUCGAGGACUAGGCGGCGGACCACCCGGAUCAUCAAGGACCAGCGGGACAUCGGUGGCAGCGGUGGACUAGGAGGAGGACCAGGACCAGAGGACAAGGACGAGGACCAGGAGCAGGACCAGAGGACAUCGCGGGAUCAUGGGUAAGUACCUCUCUUUGAGAGUACAUAAUAUAAAGUAUGUCAAUUAUCGUUUCGACGAUGCUUGACAUGCAAGGGGUGCUCUUGUUGUUGAUGUUGUUUUUGUUGCUGGAAACGAAAACAACAUCAACAACAAGAUGGAGCCUCGAAACAGCUAGGGCAUUAGAAAGUGUACGUGGGAUCUCUUAGUGCCAAAGCCCAGGGCACCCCACGUAUGCGAAGGGAUGGAGUCGGUAGGGCACGCCAACGCCCGCUCUAUCUCGAACGUAGCUUAGGAGGUUAAGAGGUGUUGCGGCGGGGAUGAUAGGGCAGCACCGGUUGGAACCAUUAGGGUUCCUCCUGGGAUAAGAAGUUUGGUGAUCAGGCCAGGCGAUUCUUGAAAUCACUGCCUAUAACCAUCGAACUCUUAUUACCGGAGUAACGCCAGCCAAUCAUCGUCACGCGACAACUAUCUUGUAGAUAGGUCUCGUGAGACAAGAUCGGCCUCAUCGAACAACGAUUAGGUCUCCAAGUAGGGUGCGUCUACGCGAAGGUAACACAGCCGAAGUUGCUUUUCACGUAGAUCCUUUGUAGGUUCGGUUGGUUACAGGCAGGUAGACAAUUUAUAGUAAUCAUCAUCAAGCAGUGUCAUUUCGUUUCUCGCGUCCGGGUAGGUAGGUACUCUCUUAAUGUGACCCAGUGAAAAUUUCACUGAUCUCAUCAGUGAAGCAACUUUUCACUGUUAAAACAGUUAUUAUUUCACUGCUUGAAAUUGUUCGGUUAUUUCAACUAUCAAAACAGUGAAUAUUCACUUUCUAAAAACAGUGAAAUUCAUUCACUGUUCAAAACAGUGAUUGAUCUUCCCGCCGAAUCGUAUCGAUUAGCAAAAUGGCCGCCGGCGGUGCAGUAGCGCGGAACGUCAGUUUGGCGGGAUCGUGCGACAUUAUAUUAGACGAACUCGUUGCUCGUUUCUAUUGCUGCUCUUGCUGCUUAUAAUAUAUUGGUACGCAAACAAUACUUCGUAUAAGCAUACGAAAAAUCAAAUUGAUGUAUGUACAGACAUACAAGAAGGUUAUCUAGAGAGAAGCAGCUUUUCAACUUAUUUGUUGUGUGCACUCGUUAAACAAAGUUUUUCAUUCCUCUAAAACCAUAAACGAUGGAUCAGAUGAAAGAUCCUGCAGAUUUGAGGAGUUAUUUGGAAAAUAUUAUGAAUGAUAAAUCAGCUGUCGAACUACUAGAAGGAUUCGCACUGAGAGAAGAUUGUGGCUAUAUAUAUGUCCACGAUGAAAAUUAUUCAAGAUGAUAAUCUCAAGGCUUUACUGAUCUUAAUCGACUUGCUUCCUACAUCGAACGCAUGCAUAAGAGGUGGCAAAGGUGGCAAAGGUGGGAAAGUCAAAUCAUCAAAAAAUUUGCGUAAGGAACCAGUAAAAAUCACUCCUCAAAAAUGCAUGUUAGAAUUCGUUUCUAGUAUUGAAAGCAUACAGAAUUUUUCAGAAGAAAAAAGACUGCGCAUGGGAACGCCUGUUCAACCGUACAUAGUCGCUAUUGAUGGGCGUACUACACAGUUUCAAGUCCAAGGCGAUGGCUGUAUUAUUGCCCGAAAACCCUCAAAUGAAAUAAUCACUACAUUUCACCUUCUGUUUAAAAUGUAUUAUGUUUUUAACUUAACGUAUCCUAUUCUACUACAGAAUUUUUAUCUCUUUAUGCAAGUAAAUGUUUAUGGCAUACAGGACAAGUGCCCUGAAAGUGUAUCGUCGUUGUAUACUGCACUAAAAUUCUGUAGAAGAAGCGGUUGAUGAAUAAAUCUCCGAAAAUAAUACAGAUGAAGAAUAAAAUUGUUUAAUAU